UCAUUACCACCAUCAUCAUCAUCACCAUCAUUACCAUCAUCAUCAUUACGACCAUCAUCAUCACCAUCAUCAUCAUCAUCAUCACCAUCACUAUCGUCAUCAUCAUCAUCACCACCACCAUCACCAUCACUAUCGUCAUCAUCAUCAUCACCACCACCAUCACCAUCACUAUCGUCAUCAUCAUCAUCACCACCACCAUCACCAUCACUAUCGUCAUCAUCGCCAUCAUCAUCAUUAGCAUCUCCACUGUCACCACCACCAUCACCAUCGUAACCAUCCUUAGCACCACCAUCCUCAUCACCAUCAUCCUCACCACCAUUACCAUCAUCAUCAACCCCUUCAUCACCAUUACCAUCAUCAUCAUUACCAUCGUGAUAAUCUUCAUCCUCUUCAUCAUCAUCAUUAUCACCAUUACCAUCGUCACCACCACAUUACCAUCAUCAUCAUCUUCAUCAUUAUUACCAUCAUCAUCCUUACCAUCCUGAUCAUCGUUUUCAUCAUCACAACCAUCACCAUUAUCACCACUACAAUCACCAUCGGUACCAUCAUCAUCGUUGUCAUCUUUUUAUCUUCAUGGUCACAAUCACUAUCACCAUCUCCACCACCAGCAAAGCCACUACUGCUCCUCAGUGCUCAUGAGGGGAGGGCCAGUGUCAACACCUUUGUGGGCAUUACCUCCUUUAGUCUUCUCAGGAGCCUUGUAAGGGCGAGGGAAUUCCUGAACCACCUCUCUGGAGCAAAUAAUGGAAAUUGGAAAUUGAUUGUCAUUUACCUUUGAGGAAGACUUCGGGAUGUGCCAUGUCUUUGGUAUAGGGCUGCGUGGUGUUGUGACGCAUGUGAAGAAAUACAUCCAAGGACCUUCCUAAGCUCAUCUGCAGCCACAAUUCCCCCACCCUAUUCUUCUCGUAGGGUUUUAAGUUUGCUGUCUGCAAAUGUUCCUCAUUCCGGAGUCUUUGGGAACCAAUCCACCUAGCUGGAGAAGGACAUCGUACCCUGGUAAUGAAGACAGGCAUAGAGAGGCACAGGGUUCAGGAGGGGACAGUCAGCACCGCAGGUGGCUCCGCAGCAGCUGACUCAGUGAUUGAGACGAGUUCCUGUCUCUGGUUUUGUUCGGCACAUCAG
RNAcentral lists this long non-coding RNA (1122 nucleotides) under Homo sapiens (human). Its description in RNAcentral is "HSALNT0133031". The record is from RNAcentral. Lineage: Eukaryota; Metazoa; Chordata; Mammalia; Primates; Hominidae.